UGGGUACCACUUGACUCUGACCUUGCUGAC
This 30-nucleotide non-coding RNA is filed under the name Rattus norvegicus (Norway rat). The record is from RNAcentral. Lineage: Eukaryota; Metazoa; Chordata; Mammalia; Rodentia; Muridae.